RNAcentral lists this long non-coding RNA (3375 nucleotides) under Sus scrofa (pig). Its description in RNAcentral is "lncRNA (ENSSSCG00060013374.1)". The record is from RNAcentral. Lineage: Eukaryota; Metazoa; Chordata; Mammalia; Artiodactyla; Suidae.
UUUUCCGACCCCCACGCCCCUGGGAUGGUAAAGCUGCAGCCCACCUCGUUCUGGGGCAGAGUCUCCUUGCCUGCCUGCUUGCAUCGCUCACCAGCGUCCUAUCCUAACACCUCUGUUUCGUGCCCAUCACUUUGUCUCUCGCUGAAUUCCUUCUGCGUGGAGACAUAGAGAACCUCAACCUCAGUGAGUCCAGACGCAGGAGGAGAGCGUUUCCCAGACUCCUUGCCCCUGAGUGAGGAUACGUGCCUGGUUCUGGCCAAGGGGCUGUGGCUGAUACAGCAGGUGUCACUCUGAGUCAAAGCAAAGGAUGUGCAGACAUGAAGUCUCCACGCUCUCUCUUCUUCACCCCUUGUCUCAAGGUGUCAGAGGCACCAGCUUAUGAGGGAUGUAUGAUUGUCAGCACCUCCACUUUACAGAAGAGGACACCUGGGUAUGAUGAUAAGCUGCCCAAGGUCCCAUAUCUGGUGCUUCAUAAUCCUGGCAAAGCCACUAAGCUGAGCAGAGCUGCAGAAAUUCCCUGGCUUUCCUACUGGAAGAUGUCGAUCAAUGAGGGCGCUCGCGGCCUUUGAUGUUAGGCAUCCACGCCCGCUUCUGUAAAGACUUUCGGCUCCACAAGAGAACGGGAAGUCACUGUGAAGAAAGAGGCAGGCGAUGUAACCGGAAAAGCGCAGGUUUGAUGUCAAACAGACCUGCGUGGUUCCACCGCUUUCCGACUGUGUGACACCUCCCCCCACCCCCACCGGCCCAGUUGCUCUUUGAACCCAAGUCUUGGAAAAUGGAACCAAUAAUACCUGUUCUUCAAGACUGUUUCUGCUGGAAGCUCCAAGAUUCAUCUGAAGGCGUGAUCACAUCCUCAAUGUUGAGUGGACUAUGAACCGGCUGCCAGAGACAGGGUUCCAAGCCGGGCCAGGCCCAUCCCAAUGCCCACCCGAAAAGAAGGGACAGAGGAAAGAAAGAAACAAAAUCCUGGGGCUCCAUUGGCUUUCUUUUUGACUCCAGCUGAAGUUGCUGCAUAGUGUGGCCUUGCCAGUCCUCGCCUUGAAAAAUGAGCGGAGCUCCUUUCUUUAUGAACUUUGGUGACGUGGCAUUAUGAUGUUACGGCAGAAGAGAUUAAUAACAGCGCCUCGUUUCUGUUCCGCCACCAUUAGAGGGCUGGAAGCGACUGACGUGAUGGAUCAUCUAAUCCCACAGCCUCAUUUUGCAGAGGACCCCGAGCCUCGACUUGGCCAAGGUCACACAGCUGGGCCACACCCAUGGCGUAUGGUUUUCAUAUGGAAUUGGAGCUGCAGUUGCCGGCCUGUGCCACAGCCACAGCAAGGUAGGAUCUGAGCCAAGUCUUUGACCUACACCACAUCUCACGGCAAUUCCAGAUCCCUGGACCCACUGAGUGAGGUAAGGGAUUGAACACGCACCCUUAUGGAUACUAGUUGGAUCACAACGGAACUCCCUGAAAAAUCAAGGUCUUUAAAGCAAUUCAUCAACCCCACCAACAUCUUGGCAUAAGAAAAUUGAUUCUGUAAGUCAAAAGAACUUAUAACAUGGUAUAUUGGGAGGAUGGCAGGGCUUGGUAAGUGGUAGCAACGCAGCUGGUAGAUUUUUCUUUGUUGUGUCCUUGUCCUUACACUCUUUUUAGCCACAUUUUCAUUCAGGAUUCUUGGGUUGGAAGCAACAGAAAUGGACUCUUUUGGCCUUAAGCAAAAAGAAAAUUUGUUGAAAGGGCAUGGAGGAGUUCAUAGGAUUGACUAGAAGUUUGGAGAAGUAGGCUCAGGAGUCAAGGCAUUUAUGGAGGAGGGUAGGGUAGAGAGGUGAUAAAAAUAAUGCAACGGUCUUAUUUGGAAAUUGUACUGGCAUGUAAGAGUUUCAUCUUUCCUCCUCCCUUCCUCUCUCUCUCUUUCUGCCACUUCAUUCGAGAUUCCAAUUUCAGCGAAGGAGCAUCCAAUUGGCCUGUCUUGGUCAGAUUCCCACCACCCCCAUGGUUAGGGGAACACAGCAUAUUCGAAAUGGCAUUCCCACGAGGUACAUUCCAUGGAAAAGUAAUACCACAAAGAAAAUACGGACACAGUUAUCAAAGGAAGAUAAAACAGGUGCUGGGUAGCCAACAAUAGCCUAUUUCCACUAUAUCCUUUAAAAAAAAUCCCAGUAACUCUUCUAUGAUUACCGAUGUUUCAGGAGAGAAAUUUAACGAUGGAAGAGUGUAUACAUAGUGAUGAAAAGAAUGGGAGGAUUUAUAAGAUACAAGUCAUUUUCUUUGAGUUGUGGGACAAUGGUUGGGUCCAUUUUUCUUCUGUUGUUUUUUCCUAUAGAGCACAUUUAUAACCUUUUAAAAGUAAACUAUGUUUUCUACUUUAAGAUGAGUGAAAUGAGGGGGGAGUGUCCUUUUGACUGGGGACAUAGUCACUAGUUACUCUAUGUUAAUAACAGAAGCAUACAUUCCUCUCGAGGGGCAACAGUGUUCUUAUACAUUAAACUCUCAACAGAAACCAAAAGAACCACCACCAAAAAAAUCCCACCCAGUUUGGAAAGGACUUGUGCUUGUGGGUCGGGGGCAGAAGGAAGCAAUUUCCCUCCAUUUUCUGCCUGAGCAGGCCUUUUGCACUUUGAUAUUCGUUUCACUAAUAAGGUGUUUCAUUAUUUCUCCCACAAAAAGAGCUGGUGCUGUUAUGAGAUGCUGUUGAAGACUCUGGUUUGCCCAGAUGUGCCGCAGUGAAAACAGCCUUUCUCUGACGUGCGUGACUUGUGAGGAUGAUGGGACCUGUGGGAAGAGGGGAUCCUUUUUCAGAGUUUGGAAAGAGAGGCAAAAUAACGCCAUCUGCCCUGCAUGGCUGACAGAAACACGUUCUUCCCUAAUCAGUGGGUCACUCACUUCCGCACUAUGUUGCAGGGAAGCAUCAUCUGAUUCCAAGCCUAAGGCUGGGUCAUCCGCGGCACUGACUUCUCCCGACCCUUCUCCGAGCUUCCUGUGCCAGUUUUCAUCAUCAAAUUUCUCUGCUCCCUUGGACCAGCGGAAAAGAAGUUAUGAGCUCUCUCCAUCAUUCGCCGGUCUCUUCGGCCCUUCCUCCUUUGAAGUUUUCUUAUUCGGGGUCUUUUUUCGCUUCUUCUCCAUGUUUCAUCCUCUCUCACUGUAACCUUUUUAUCUCUGGAGAGUUCUCUCUGUGCCUCUGGGCCCUUCUCUUUCUAGUUGGUUCUCAGAACCCAUUCUGGGAUUCUAUUUCAGUCCAUCCGUCUCUCCAACAGACCACGGGUGAAACCAGGGCCGGUAAUCAGUCCCAGCUGCUGGAGGCGUCCGCUCUGGGUCGGCCCCACGUUUGUGGGCUGAUGUUUUGCUUCCCAUAAUGCUCUGGGAGUACUGCUGCUCAGAGCUUGGCUUGUGCUUUU